AGGGGGUAUUGCACCUACCGAAGACUAUCAAACUCCGAAUGCCGUCAUCUUAUACUUGGGAGUCAGACUGUGGGUGAUAAGAUUCAUAGUCGAAAGGGCAACAGCCCAGAUCGUCAGCUAAGGUCCCUAAAUGUAAGUUAAGUGGUAAAGGAUGUGGGAUUGCACAGACAACCAGGAUGUUGGCUUAGAAGCAGCCACUCAUUCAAAGAGUGCGUAAUAGCUCACUGGUCGAGUGAUCCUGCGCCGAAGAUUUCCGGGGCUAAAACUUACUACCGAAGCUACGGCAUCAGUAAUGAUGGGUAGGGGAGCUUCCCAUACGGGUUGAAGCAUGACCGUAAGGACAUGUGGACAGUAUGGGAGUGAGAAUGUUGGCAUGAGUAGCGAGAUGUGGGUGAGAAUCCCACAGGCCGUAAACCCAAGGUUUCCAGGGGAAGGUUCGUCCGCCCUGGGUUAGUCGGGACCUAAGCUGAGGCCGAAAGGCGUAGGUGAUGGACAACAGGUUGAUAUUCCUGUACUACCGAUAACCGUUUGAGAGAAGGGAUGACACAGUAGGAUAAGCUAAGCACACUGUUGGUUAUGUGUGCCCAAGCAUUGAGGCAGUCAAAGUAGGCAAAUCCGCUUUGAUAAUGCUGGGAUGUGAUGGGGAGCGAAAUUUAGUAGCGAAGUAGCUGAUUUCACACUGUCAAGAAAAGUCUCUAUCGAGGUUAAAGGUACCCGUACCGCAAACCGACACAGGUGGGUGAGGAGAGUAUCCUAAGGCCAGCGAGAGAACUGUUGUUAAGGAACUCGGCAAAAUGACCCCGUAACUUAGGGAUAAGGGGUGCCACCAUCAGGUGGCCGCAGAGAAUAGGCCCAAGCGACUGUUUACCAAAAACAUAGGUUUCUGCUAAGUCGCAAGACGAUGUAUAGGAGCUGACGCCUGCCCGGUGCUGGAAGGUUAAGGGGAUCUGUUAGAGCAAUCGAAGCAGUGAACUUAAGCCCCAGUAAACGGCGGCCGUAACUAUAACGGUCCUAAGGUAGCGAAAUUCCUUGUCGGGUAAGUUCCGACCCGCACGAAAGGCGUAACGAUUUGGGCACUGUCUCAACAACAGACUCGGUGAAAUUGUAAUUCCGGUGAAGAUGCCGGAUACCUGCGACAGGACGGAAAGACCCCAUGGAGCUUUACUGUAGCUUGACAUUGGGUCUUGGUACUACAUGUACAGGAUAGGUGGGAGGCUUUGAAACCAGGACGCCAGUUUUGGCGGAGCCAUCCUUGGGAUACCACCCUUGUAGUACUGGGACUCUAACCAUAGGCCAUGAAUCUGGUCUUGGGACACUGUCAGGUGGGCAGUUUGACUGGGGCGGUCGCCUCCCAAAAGGUAACGGAGGCGCUCAAAGGUUCUCUCAGUACGGUCGGAAAUCGUACGUAGAGUGUAAAGGCAAAAGAGAGCUUGAUUGCAAGACAUACAGGUCGAGCAAGGAUGAA
RNAcentral lists this ribosomal RNA (1465 nucleotides) under Clostridioides difficile. RNAcentral describes it as "bacterial LSU rRNA". It matches the Rfam family "Bacterial large subunit ribosomal RNA", at positions 921 to 2403 of the family's 2925-position model. The record is from RNAcentral. Lineage: Bacteria; Bacillati; Bacillota; Clostridia; Peptostreptococcales; Peptostreptococcaceae.